This 3187-nucleotide long non-coding RNA is filed under the name Capra hircus (goat). RNAcentral's name for it is "lncRNA (ENSCHIG00000001172.1)". Lineage: Eukaryota; Metazoa; Chordata; Mammalia; Artiodactyla; Bovidae. The record is from RNAcentral.
CCUACUGAAUAGAAAUUGAAACCAAACAAAAUAAAACAAGCAAAUUCUCCUCCAAGUGUGAGCACCACAGAUGAACUUUUUUCUUGUGAUCUUCCAUUUUGCAGGAUGUUGCCACCGACACUGAAGUCUGUCAACUGACUAUCGUUUGGAGUCAGCUGAACGGCUUAUACCACAUACAGGGGAAAAGCAUAAAUGUGUGUUUGACUUCCAUGAAAUUAAUGAUAGAUGAGCUACUAAAGAGAGAGCAAGAAGAAAAGCGAGAGCUGAGAAAAUAAUAAUUUAAAUAUUAUGAGCAAGUCUCUUUACUGCUCACGUGACCUACAAUAGUGUUGUCCAGGAGGAAGAAAAUGAAUCCCUGGAGUGUGUACUACACCCGUCUUUAUCAUCUCAAAUCUCAUCUCACAGACAGUGAACUCAUCUUUGUUGUCAGCAUCAGUCAUCAUGGUGGUCAGCGUUGUUACUAUCAGAGCUGGGCAAGAAUACCCAGGAUGCAUGUCAAGCAAGAAGUGGAGAGAAGAAGUGAUGUCCCACUUUCUCAGAUGGGGCACUUUCUCAGAGAAAGCUUCCAAAGGUUAACAAGUAAGAGUACAAUUUUUAAAGAUUGCAUCCCACUCCGAGAGUUUGGACAGAUCACUUGAAUAUAUUGGGCUCCAAGUAGAGAUAUCCCCUUCCCCCAAGAGAGGCACAGAAAGUGUAAACUCUUUCUUGUGAUCAGGCCAAUUGCCAAAUGUUUGUGAGGGUAGGAAACCCAAGUCAUCCAACAAUCAAGCAGAGAGUCAAUUGUAAUAGAUACAGUGAAAUAUGAUAUGUUAUAAUUAUGACAAGAGGCACUGCAAGAUCCCAACCUACGUGAAUUAUCAGUCUUGCUACUUACCAGAGCACUAAUAAUACACACAUAUUAAUAUAGUUCUUGUUCCAGGGACAUGGUAGAUUGAGCUAACUAAUGCGUAAUGUUCUCUUAAUGCAGUUAUAUAGAAAUGCUGAAUGAAGUAGAAUUCAAAACUUUUAUAUCACAGCAGAGCCCAGAAAAGAAAAAAUGCCACAUGCCAGGAAUGAAGAGUGAACCCCGUCAGACCUGUGCAUAGCUGAUUGACUGCUUUCCUAAGAGCCUUGAUGCAGAGACCCAGGCUCUCUGUGCCUUACAGUUCUAUCAUCUUUACCAUGUAAUCUUCAAAGUCACUGUGCUUAUUUUCAUUAAGCUGAUGAAGGAUAAGAGCACAGAAGAUGGCUUGUUGGAAAGUUUUAUGGAUCAGACCUACAAACAGCCUAUAGUACUUCCGUUAAACUUCUGGUGAACUUUCUUCACAGUGGCUGGGAAUGUAGGCUAGAUUGUACCAGGAGGAGGAGGAGGAGGAGGAACUUUGUUCGGAGAUUAUCGUAUUGUAUAAUGCAAUACAAGAACCUUAUAAUGUAAUGUUAUUGUAAGCUAAGUAACCUUACCUUCUAACAUUCUGGAUAAAUAUAAGUUGGAAAAAAAGGCACAAACUCUGAGUCUCAGUUGCUUACAUUUUGAUGAAGAACAGAUUGAGAAACUUUUAAAUAAAAUAAUAGCUGAAAGUCUUUGUCUCUAGGUACAUUCUCUUUUUACAUUAUGCUCAUAGCUGUAAUGGAUUCCAUCUCUUCCAACAGUUGAAGCUUGAUACCCAAUUGCAUAGCAAAGGAGGAUGCUUUACUUUUCCGUUAAUGGCUAAUAAGUAUAUUUCUGGAUUCAGGAAAACAUGUUUUCCUUUCGCUACUCAAAAUUGGUGUGUAUUUGUUGCCUUCCUUAGAAAGCUAUGAGUGCAUAUAAUACAGGAGGUUGAAAUAUCUGCAUGUUUUAGAGAUAACUGAGUUCAAGUGCCAAGGCCAAAUUAUAGAUGUAUUCAAUCAGAUGAAAACAUUAGUUUUUGUAUUUCUGAGCAUAUUUGCUUUGUAGUCAUUCAAGUAAGGGAAAAGGAAAUGGCAACCCACUCCAGUAUUCUUGCCUGGAGAAUCCCAGGGCCGGGGGAGCCUGGUGGGCUGCCGUCUAUGGGGUCGCACAGAGUUGGACACGAGUGAAAUGACUUAGCAGCAGCAGCAGCAGUAUUCAGAUAAGAAUUUAGUUUUGCACAUAGCUUGAUUUCUUUGUUUGCUCUCACAGCCAAACCCGACUCCACUUACUAGUCUCUGCUGCAGCUUGCUGUAAGUGGCUACCUGUGUAGUAUUACAGGUAUUCCAAGUACAGCUUGGUGGAAUCCGUAAGAGGAUGGGUAAGUAUUGUCUUUGGCCUGCCACAGGCAGGUGGUUUAAGAGCUAGCGCAUUUCAGUCCUCUUUAAUUGUGCCUAGAUUUGUUAUUAGAGUGGGACAAAGCCUAGGAAACUAGAAAUCAUAUUGGAAAGGUUUGAGAUACCGAGGUAAAGCUGGGGGAGGGGUCAGCAUCUUACAAGUGUUAGUGAUAUACAUGGUCUGAAUCUUCGUACUCUUCUCUUUGUACAUUGGGAGUAAAGCCAUUAGGUGGGGCUGCAGGGUGGCUCAGAUCUGAGAGCAAACACUGACCCCUCGUUCUGCACUCUUGGCUCUCACUCAACCAUCUGAGGAGACUUUGGGAUCCCAGGCAAGGGAACGUCUCAGAGUCUUUCAUGAUUCCAUUCCUGUCUUUGUCAGAAACUUCACAGAGGAUUUUUCUCAAGACCACAGCUGCAGAGGGGUUGUUUCAGGUCAGUGAGAAAGAGGGAUCCACUCCUUGGAGUGAGACUAAAUAAAACUGUAAAGUCAAAAAGGUUGCAGUUUUCACAGCAAUCGCUGAGAAUACUCAGGGCAUACAGGGCCACUGAACCACUGUCAGCAACAUGCGGUGUGGACCUGACCUGGGAUUCCCUUACAGCUGGAGCAAAGAGCAAAAGACCAUGAAGAGCUGUCCUUUCUGACAUCUACAAGUGGGUGUCUGUGAUUCUUCCCUUUGUUUCUAUUUAAAUUUUCAUCAUUUGGCCUUUAUGAAUGGACAGAUGACUCUGAUCCUUGCUUUUAACUUUUUCUGGAGGAACGGGUGAAUAGAUUGCACGUCUUUUCUGCUAAACCUUGAGACAGGUUUAAAACUAACCUUGUGAGAAGAGAACUAGCAGAGCCCUCAGCCAGUGUGAAUCCUCCACUUGGCAUCUGGCCUGGAAACUUCUCUCAACCACACUCUCAGUGCUGUCAAUCCGCAGGCCUUUCCUCCUGAGUUCCGCC